This is a long non-coding RNA of Triticum aestivum (bread wheat), 560 nucleotides long. RefSeq lists it as uncharacterized. The transcript has 3 exons. The record is from RefSeq and is a predicted model, not a curated record. Lineage: Eukaryota; Viridiplantae; Streptophyta; Magnoliopsida; Poales; Poaceae.
UCUCUCCCCCUGCCUCAUCUCACCCGCGCCCAAUCCACCACCGACCACCACCGCCCCCGUGCUCGCCGUCCCGGGCCGUGCUCGCUGCCCCCCCGUGCUCGCCGUCCCCGAGCCGAGCGCUGCCUCCCUCGCCGUCCCCCCUCCGCCCGCGGCCGGGUUCGCCACCUCGCGUUCGGCCUCCCUCGCACUCUGCGGCUUCCUCAUCUUCCUCAACGUCUUCACCUUCCUCCUCACCGUCGGUGCCGAGCAGCGAUGCAACACCGUACGCCCCCCCGCACCGCCGCCCCGCGCCCCCGCGCCCCGAGCUGGAGGAGGAGGACCAGGAGGAGGACUAGGAGGAGGAGGAGACGACCGCCGCCGUCCGCGCGCUGCUCUGCCAGGCCAUGCGACGCCGCCGUCCGCCCUCAACUGCAGGACCGGUGCCGGAGUCUGAGUUGAGCGCUUUCUGCGAAGGUUUCGGAGAGCCGGAUUGCCUAUUUGGGUGUUCUUCAAGGUUGAGCUCAGAGAUGCCGUCGUAUGUCGUGCACAAGGGUAAGGUUCCCGGAGUCUACGACGACUAG